GCCAAUGUAACAGGUUAAGCGAAUCAAUCAAUCUGAAACUAGUGAGAAACAUAAUUGCGGAGAAGAUAUAUAAUGUUUUGUUGUAUAAUGUAAUAUAUUUACUACACAAAUGUUCUAGUCUUUGCUUGUAGGUAUGGUUGUUUUAAUGACGCAACGAAAGUUGAGAUAUUUUAGCAGCAGAUAAUCUUUAUUAUAAUUUUAUGCUUAUUUCUAGACAGAUAUUCAUGAAUGAAAAAUGGAAAUUUGACGCCAUAUUCGAUGAACGUUUCUCCUCAAUUCUGAAUCUAAUCUGAUUUAAUUUUUAGAUUUUGAACUUCAACAGAUUUCUGGGAAAAGAGCUGUUUUUGGUUUAAAAGUUCAUUGUUGGCAACAUGACAUACAGUUACUGGGAAUUUGCUUGUGGAAUCUGCUUGCUCUUCACUGCCAUUUGGACUCAAGUGCUUACGGUGUAUUACUUCGAGAUUUGCUCUGCCUUACUAUCGAAUAUGUGCCAUUUUCUGUCUCUGAUUGAGAUGAUAUUUGGUGUGCAAGCCAUGCUGAAAGGAUUACUCGGCGACCUGGACGAAGAGGGCAUCUUUCGCUUUGCCUGAAUCAUGGCAAAUUGCGAAACAUUCCCAGUUGAAAUACUUUUUGUGUGUGGCAGACGAAAAUUCAUCCUUGUUUGUUGACAUGUUUCCAUCCGUUUUAUUUAUCGCAUAUUGAU
This is a long non-coding RNA of Argiope bruennichi, 703 nucleotides long. RefSeq lists it as uncharacterized. The record is from RefSeq and is a predicted model, not a curated record. The transcript has 3 exons. Lineage: Eukaryota; Metazoa; Arthropoda; Arachnida; Araneae; Araneidae.